RNAcentral lists this long non-coding RNA (771 nucleotides) under Capra hircus (goat). RNAcentral describes it as "lncRNA (ENSCHIG00010023914.1)". The record is from RNAcentral. Lineage: Eukaryota; Metazoa; Chordata; Mammalia; Artiodactyla; Bovidae.
UGACAAAUCAGUCACAUUACUUGCUAGUCACAUCUCACGAUUGUACGUCUUAAAUGUACUUUUUUUUAUUGUAGGAUACCAGGACACUGAUUUGCCUUGAUAAAGUGAAAUUUUCAAAGUUUACCAAGCUUCAAAAGCAAGAACCAUUCCAGAAUGCACAGUGCCUUUCGACAGCAUUGAUUUUGGUAGAGACAAUUAAUUGCAGUUUUUGAAAACAUAUGAAGAAAUUUUUUAUUAGACAAAUAAGCCAAUAGAGGAGGACAGUAGUCUGCAAAAUUUGGAAGGGAGCACUUUGGGGUGUCUGAGAGGUCUGCUCUUGUGUGGGACCCCGGGUGAGAUGGGUUCUCAAGGGGACAGAUAGAACUUCCUGGCUGACUCAUCUACCUUGGAAGCUGAGGGGCAUGUCUGUGUGUUUGUCAGCCUCCCUGGAAGCGUCAGCUGUGGCCCCUGCAAGGGGCAGGAUAUUGGAUUAACUGUUCCACUUCUCAUUUCCUGGGAACAUAUUGUGUAGUUCCAAGGACAUGAUAAGAAAAAUCCUGCAUUGAAGUCUUUUUGAAAAAUGAGGCAUUACAGAAGAUUUACCUACUAUAAACUGCAUGGGUAGGGGAGGAGUUUGUGGGUGUAGGUUUGUGUUCUGGUUGUUCUAGUCUGUGGAGUUAGAUUUUCCAUUUUAAGAUAGUAUAAUGUGCUAUUGAAAAUGAAGGGUUUGUUCAAGUACUGAAAAUGAAAAACAUUCAAAGAGCACAUUAUUCUCAGAUCAGAGUUCUAAAC